AACGAACGCUGGCGGCAUGCCUAACACAUGCAAGUCGAACGAGACCUUCGGGUCUCGUGGCUCACGGGUGCGUAACGCCUGGGAACCUGCCCUUAGGUUCGGAAUAACUCCCCGAAAGGGGUGCUAAUACCGGAUAAUGUCUUCGGACCAAAGAUUUAUCGCCUUUGGAUGGGGCCGCGUUUGAUUAGCUAGUUGGUAGGGUAAAAGCCUACCAAGGCGACGAUCCAUAGCUGGUAUGGGAGGAUGAUCAGCCACACUGGGACUGAGACACGGCCCAGACUCCUACGGGAGGCAGCAGUGGGGAAUAUUGGACAAUGGGCGGAAGCCUGAUCCAGCAAUGCCGGGUGAGUGAUGAAGGCCUUAGGGUUGUAAAGCUCUUUUAUCCGGGAUGAUAAUGACAGUACCGGGAGAAUAAGCUCCGGCUAACUCCGUG
Molecule: ribosomal RNA, 433 nt
Filed under: uncultured bacterium
Lineage: Bacteria
Description: partial 16S ribosomal RNA
Rfam family: Bacterial small subunit ribosomal RNA
Source: RNAcentral